GGAUGGUGGCGAACGACGGCGAACGACGGCACGCAGACUUGGAAAGCGUGUUGGGUUAACACCCUCACGAGUUCGAAUCUCGUAUCCUCCGCCA
Molecule: transfer RNA, 94 nt
Filed under: Actinoplanes lobatus
Lineage: Bacteria; Bacillati; Actinomycetota; Actinomycetes; Micromonosporales; Micromonosporaceae
Description: tRNA-OTHER
Source: RNAcentral